CCCCGCGGUAGACUUCAAAUACUCUUUGUCCUGCCCCUGCUUGGCGAAAUUUACCGAAAUUAUCUACCUAUCCCGCUGGAGUGGGAGCCGGGGGAGAGCUGGAACCGCGUCUCUGCUGCUCACCUUUGUGUCCUUAGCUCCUUCGCAUGGGGUCCGACCGCAACACGUGCGCUGGAUAAACGCUUGUUAACUGGAGCUCCCUCUUUGCCCACUAGCAGGGCAUUAGCUGGUGCUGAAGACAGUGGCUGCUUGGCGAGCCUGGAUCUCCAAGUGACCCCCUCAGCAACUCCUGAUGAACAGGUACUGUGUGCAGAAAUGUGAUUGAGAUUCAAGUCAGGGCCUCUCUGCCCUUUUCCCUCCAGAAACAAAACCAAGAUAAUUUAUCCUGAACACGGUGAAAAAAGGAAGGGAGGGAGGAGAAAAAGUCCGGGUCUCACCUGGGAUUCUCUGUCUCCUGCAACAUGAAGGAUUUAGCCUGGGAGGAGGUGGUGAGAACUCUGGGAGAGAAAAAAGAAGGAAAGAAUAGUUUUACCCAUGCUGAAGUUAAUUUAAACCUUCACCUAGAGAAGCAAAAAAAAAAAACCCACACUUUCCCAUUUUGUGCCUCCCUUCCUAGAGUUUUAGCCAAAGGUUUAGCUAAGUAAUUGGUUUUACCAGCGCACUCACUCCUCCUAUCCCAAGUCUGUUUGACUCCCUCCCCAUCAUCCUCCUCACCUCUUUUCAGGCAGGGUGGGGAUAGCAGCAGGAGGAGAUUUUGGGAGCCUGGCAACUCCUGCAAGGACCGCAGGACAGCCCCUCUGUGGGGAUGCGUGGUGCCCCAUCUGCCGCCCUUCUGAAGAAUGCACUGCCUUCACUUUUUACUGUGUUAGAGUCCAUCCAGACUGUUCUAUCCAAAAAAGUUUCUUUUUCCCCCACAGGCAAUCAGGAAAUGAUUCCUUUCCCGACUGCUUCUGUCUAGUGCCUGGGAAUCUUGAGUCAAUCCCUCAGUAAGUCAGUGACUAGGGAAAUCCCUCUCUGAGCCUCCCAGUUCAUGUUGCUUAGGGAACCUGAUAUUUUCGUGAAACCUGCCUACACAUGGGCAGCCCAACAGCAGAACAAAUGGUGGUGACCAAAGUGAACAAAGAAGUAUAGUUGUGCCAGCUUCGUAGUUGCCCAUGUGGACAAGUCAGCAGGAUCAGGACACGAGGAAGAGUAAAUGUGAGACAGUCAAUGUGACUUCUGCGAUAAACAGAUUUUUAAACCCCGAAAUUUUGCAAAAUUUUGGUGAAACCUGAACUUUCUUCGUUGCAUAUACUGGCACUAUCUGUACCAUCAUACAACUGUCUCACAUUAAAGCUAUUUUUCUUGGGCACUGAUGAGUAAGGUUGGUAUAAGUUCCUCAGAUCAACAAAAACCCAUUUUCCUGUAAGUCUUACAUUU
This 1419-nucleotide long non-coding RNA is filed under the name Homo sapiens (human). RNAcentral describes it as "HSALNT0333606". The record is from RNAcentral. Lineage: Eukaryota; Metazoa; Chordata; Mammalia; Primates; Hominidae.